This 468-nucleotide ribosomal RNA is filed under the name uncultured bacterium. Its description in RNAcentral is "partial 16S ribosomal RNA". It matches the Rfam family "Bacterial small subunit ribosomal RNA", at positions 28 to 507 of the family's 1533-position model. The record is from RNAcentral.
GACGAACGCUGGCGGCGUGCUUAACACAUGCAAGUCGAACGGCAAGACCCUGCUUUUGUGUGGUGCUCGAUUGGCGAACGGGUGAGUAUCACGUGAGUAACCUGCCCUUGUCUUUGUGAUAACUUCAGGAAACUGGGGCUAAUACCGGAUAGGAUCUCCUGCUUCAUGGUGGGCGUUGGUAAUUUUCGGCUUUUGUGUAUGGACUCGCGGCUUAUCAGCUUGUUUGUGGAGUAGUGUCUUACCCAGGCUUUGACGGGUAGCCUGCCUGAGAGGGUGACUGGCGACAUUGGGACUGAGGUACGGCACAGAUUCCUAAGGGAGGCAACAGUGGGGAAUCUUGAACAAUGAGCGCAAGGCUGAUGCAGAAACGCCGCGGGUGGGAUGACGGUCUUCGGGGUGUAAAACGCAUUAGCAUGUAACGAAGCGUGAGUGAAGGUAAUGGGUAAAGAAGCACCGGCUAACUAAGUG